RNAcentral lists this ribosomal RNA (305 nucleotides) under uncultured bacterium. RNAcentral's name for it is "bacterial SSU rRNA". It matches the Rfam family "Bacterial small subunit ribosomal RNA", at positions 333 to 635 of the family's 1533-position model. The record is from RNAcentral.
GCGCUCCUACGGGGCGCAGCAGUGAGGAAUAUUGGUCAAUGGACGCAAGUCUGAACCAGCCAUGCCGCGUGCAGGAUGACGGCUCUAUGAGUUGUAAACUGCUUUUGUACCGGGGUAAAAUGCCUUACGAGUAGGGAUUUGAAAGUACGGUACGAAUAAGGAUCGGCUAACUCCGUGCCAGCAGCCGCGGUAAUACGGAGGAUCCGAGCGUUAUCCGGAUUCAUUGGGUUUAAAGGGUGCGUAGGUUGUUUUAUAAGUUAGCGGUGAAAUACCGAUGCUCACCAUCGGGGCUGCCGCUAAUACUG